RNAcentral lists this non-coding RNA (24 nucleotides) under Arabidopsis thaliana (thale cress). Lineage: Eukaryota; Viridiplantae; Streptophyta; Magnoliopsida; Brassicales; Brassicaceae. The record is from RNAcentral.
UGCAUUAUCUUUGAGGUUCUUAUC